RNAcentral lists this ribosomal RNA (485 nucleotides) under uncultured bacterium. RNAcentral's name for it is "bacterial SSU rRNA". It matches the Rfam family "Bacterial small subunit ribosomal RNA", at positions 327 to 804 of the family's 1533-position model. The record is from RNAcentral.
CGCCUUAUACUCCUACGGGAGGCAGCAGUGGGGAAUUUUGGACAAUGGGGGCACCCCUGAUUCGGAAAGGCCGCGGGAUUGAGGAAGGCCUUCGGGUUGUAAAGCUCUUUUGUCAGGGAAGAAACGGUAGUAGCUAAUAUCUAUUACUAAUGACGGUACCUGAAGAAUAAGCACCGGCUAACUACGUGCCAGCAGCCGCGGUAAUACGUAGGGUGCAAGCGUUAAUCGGAAUUACUGGGCGUAAAGCGUGCGCAGGCGGUUGUGUAAGUCAGAUGUGAAAUCCCCGGGCUCAACCUGGGAAUUGCAUUUGAGACUGCACGGCUAGAGUGUGUCAGAGGGGGGUAGAAUUCCACGUGUAGCAGUGAAAUGCGUAGAUAUGUGGAGGAAUACCGAUGGCGAAGGCAGCCCCCUGGGAUAACACUGACGCUCAUGCACGAAAGCGUGGGGAGCGAACAGGAUUAGAAACCCUAGUAGUCCACGUACCA